RNAcentral lists this unclassified non-coding RNA (383 nucleotides) under Hevea brasiliensis (rubber tree). Lineage: Eukaryota; Viridiplantae; Streptophyta; Magnoliopsida; Malpighiales; Euphorbiaceae. The record is from RNAcentral.
AGUUCAUUCAAUGUUUGCGAGACAGCAUUGAUAUGUAGAUAGAUCAUAAGAUGUCUUACAAAUUUAUUAUUUUCCAUGUAAUCCAAUGAAAAGAAAAGAAUUAGACAGGAAUAUGAUGACAGAUUACAUUUGCCAAAUUUCUUAAAAGAAAUACAUAUUAUCAUUGAAACAAAACUCAUCCAUGAUAUGCCCCAAAAUGUGGCAAAGUUGAAGGUCUCAAACCUUACUAAUGCCAACCAUGGAAGGUCCAGAUUAAUGGCCAGAUCAUGGCUACGCAUGCCAUUCUCGAUGAAUGAGUAAUAAAAUCAAUAGAUGUGAUGACCACCUAAUUACCAAACCAGUAAAGAGAUAGAUGACCAAUUUUUGAAAAAUUCCAAGAAAUG